RNAcentral lists this transfer RNA (90 nucleotides) under Alternanthera philoxeroides. RNAcentral describes it as "tRNA-His". The record is from RNAcentral. Lineage: Eukaryota; Viridiplantae; Streptophyta; Magnoliopsida; Caryophyllales; Amaranthaceae.
UAUAGUAUAGUAUGGCUUCAUGUACCAACUAUAUGGGAGUUGCUGGUGUAUUGGGCGCCGCUCUGCUAUGUGCUAUUCAUGGUGCUACCG